ACAAAAUUCUGAUGUAACACCUCAGAGUUGUAGAGAAAUGAAAUGUUCUGUGAAGCGUCUGAGCUGGAUCUUUGUUGGAUGGAACCAUUGUUCCCACUGCUUUAUUUGCAUUGCUUUAGAAGAAACCCGCUGAGUAAAGGCCUUUUGCAGUCAUUCUUUCCUUUCUGACUUGCUUUCUGGGAGUGAAAUGAAAGCAAAUGUUUCCUUAGCACAGACUUGAUAAAGACACUGGAGAUGUCCAUCCUAGGGGUCCCACUGAUGGCUCUGAACAGGUUCUUUUUAUGCAUCACUAUGCCCUGAUCAUUUUCUUCUCCGAUGGGUAGAAAGGAUCACUGGUUUUCCUCCUAAAAUGAAUUCUUUUUUUUCUAGGAAAGCUCCUCAAAUGUUACUUUCGUAAUACUGUUUCUGUGCAAGCAGGGAUUUUAAAUGGAGGACAUAAACCAGUAACCUCCCCACACACAGUGGGCUGUUCGUUGCAAUGAUUGUGAGUCUGCUCUUCCUUGUGUUAUUGAGGUUCACAGCUGGGAUUCUCUUCUGGAUUUUCAUCUUUGGCGUGACUGGAAUUAUAGGUUAUGGCAUCUGGCAUUGUCGCUGGGAGUACGACCAUCUUAAAGGAAUACCUGGAUCUGAGCUCACUGUUUCUGGUACUGGAUUCCAGACAGACUUGAGAGUGCACCUGCAGCUGAGGCAAACAUGGUUAGCAUUUAGUAAGUGCCCUUUAAACUUGGUAUCCGUUAAGGGAUGUUCAGAAGAUUCAGUCGCUGUCUUGCUACAGUUUCUGCCUUGUUAAAUCUCCUCCUCUACAUAUGUUGCUCAUAGAAGUAAUCAGAAUUCACUUUCUUUGUAUAGUACAAAAAUCUACCUUUU
Molecule: long non-coding RNA, 867 nt
Organism: Pezoporus occidentalis (night parrot)
Lineage: Eukaryota; Metazoa; Chordata; Aves; Psittaciformes; Psittacidae
Exons: 3
Source: RefSeq, a predicted model, not a curated record